AGGAGUUUGAUCCUGGCACAGGACGACGCUGGCGGCGUGCCUAAUACAUGCAAGUCGGGCGGAGCCCGAGGGAGCUUGCUCCUUUUCGGGCUCAGCGGCGGACGGGUGAGUAACACGUGGGUAACCUGCCCGUAAGACCGGGAUAACUCCGGGAAACCGGGGCUAAUACCGGAUAACACCGGGGGCCGCAUGGCUUCCGGUUGAAAGGCGGCCUUUGGCUGCCACUUACGGGAUGGGCCCGCGGCGCAUUAGCUAGUUGGUGGGGUAACGGCCCACCAAGGCGACGAUGCGUAGCCGGCCUGAGAGGGUGGACGGCCACACUGGGACUGAGACACGGCCCAGACUCCUACGGGAGGCAGCAGUAGGGAAUCUUCCGCAAUGGGCGAAAGCCUGACGGAGCGACGCCGCGUGAGCGAGGAAGGCCUUCGGGUCGUAAAGCUCUGUUGUCAGGGAAGAAGGCGCGCCGUUCGAAGAGGGCGGCGCGGUGACGGUACCUGACGAGGAAGCCCCCGGCUAACUACGUG
RNAcentral lists this ribosomal RNA (524 nucleotides) under uncultured Geobacillus sp. RNAcentral's name for it is "bacterial SSU rRNA". It matches the Rfam family "Bacterial small subunit ribosomal RNA", at positions 1 to 507 of the family's 1533-position model. The record is from RNAcentral. Lineage: Bacteria; Bacillati; Bacillota; Bacilli; Caryophanales; Anoxybacillaceae.